Molecule: long non-coding RNA, 586 nt
Organism: Chelonia mydas (Green sea turtle)
Lineage: Eukaryota; Metazoa; Chordata; Testudines; Cheloniidae
Exons: 3
Source: RefSeq, a predicted model, not a curated record
AUUAAGGAGCAGCUCUGGGCCCAGGUGACCCUGCUUGGCCACACCUGCAGAGCCUGCGUAAGCUGGAGGUAGAGCUUAAAAGGGGGAGCGGAGCAGGUCAGAAGAAAAGAAGCAGUGGAAGGGAACAGAACUCUGGCCUGAGGAAAUCAUUGCCCCGGAGCACCUGUUGCUUGAGACCUGACCAAGCUUGCAAAGGAAAGACUGAAGGUGCUUCCGGAAAAGGAUGAUCUUGUACAUGAUGCACAGAACUCCAAGAUGUAUAUUUUAAAUUCAGUUUGCCACAGGCUUUCUGGGUGACUGCGAGUGACUUAAUAUCUCUGUGCCUUAUCCCCGCCCCCCAUGGGGAAAUCAUAUUUUGAUGCAAAAUCAUCUAUACAUUGUGACUCCACACAAGUUGUGCUGUCAGUGGUUACUAGACAAACAAUGAUCUGACCUUGAUUAUUUGAAUGGUAACCUGAGUGGAAAAUGCAGUGAUGUAUCUGGAGUCAGGAUCUAAUCCUUCUGAAGGUAACCCUUGUCAAGGUACUCUUUUGAGAGUUAUGUAGCACAAUGAAGGCACUGUGUCACAACCUCCAGAGAUGGUAAA